Molecule: ribosomal RNA, 1829 nt
Filed under: Anaeramoeba ignava
Lineage: Eukaryota; Anaeramoebidae
Description: partial small subunit ribosomal RNA
Rfam family: Eukaryotic small subunit ribosomal RNA
Source: RNAcentral
UAGUUAUAUGCUUGUCUCAAAGAUAUAAGCCAUGCAAGUGUAAGUAUAAACCAUAUUAUGGUGAGACUGCGAAUGGCUCAUUAAAUCAGUUAUAGUUUAUUUGAUAGAUUUUUUAUAUAUAAUUUGAUAAGUUAUUUUAUUAAUUAUAUUUACUACUUGGAUAACCGUAGUAAUUCUGGGGCUAAUACAUGCAAUAAAUCCCUGUUUUUCUAUUUAUAUUAUUUUUGUUAAAGAAAAUGAGGAAAAAUAUUAUAUUUACAAUAUAUUAAAGGGAGUAUUUAUUAGUAAUAUCUUUAUUAAGAAAGAUGACUCAUAAUAACUUAGCGAAUCGUAUUACCUAUAUACAAUCAAUCAUUAUAUAUUUUUAUAUUUUAUAUAUUUGGAGAUUGUAUUUUGAGUAGACGAUGAAUCAUUCAAAUUUCUGCCCUAUCAAUUUAGGAAGGUUGUGUAGUGGACAACGAUGAUUAUAACGGGUAACGGACGAUUGGGGUCGGAUUCCGGAGAAGGAGCCUGAGAAACGGCUACUACAUCCAAGGAAGGCAGCAGGCGCGCAAAUUACCCAAUGUUAAAAUAACGAGGUAGUGACAAGAAAUACUAAUUAGGGAUGUUUUAUAAUCACAUCUUUUUUAUUGGAAUGAAGUAAUUUUAAAUCCCUUACUGAUAAUCAAUUAGAGGGCAAGUCUGGUGCCAGCAGCCGCGGUAAUUCCAGCUCUAAUAGUGUAUACUAAAGUUGUUGCAGUUAAAAAGCUCGUAGUUGUUUUUAUUUUUUUUUUAAUUUAUAAUGAAAAAAAAAAAGAUUAUAUAAAAAAUAAUUUUAUUAUAAUUUUUAAAUUUUUAAAUGAGAAUAAAAUAGUUUUUGUGGAGAUUCAAAAACAAAACAAAAAUUAUUUUAUUUUUAUUUUUAUAUUAUUUAAAAAUUAAAAUUUUAAAAUGAAAUUUUUAUAUAAUCUAAAUUAAAAAUCAAAAGAAAUUUAUUUUUUUUUUUAAAUAUAAAAAAUAAAUAUUUUACUUUGAAUAAAAUAGAGUGUUCAAAGCAAGUUAAAAUGAAAGAAUUAUUUUUUAUUUUUUAUUUUAUUUAUAAAAAAUAAGAAAUAAUUUAAUUAUUUAAAUAAUAAUUUAGCUAUGAAUAAAUUAGCAUGGAAUAAUAGAAUAAGACUUUUUAUAAUGAAAAAAAAAAGAUUAUAAAAAGUAAUGAAAAAUGGAGACAGAAUCGGGGGUGAUAAAAUUUAAUAGUCAGAGGUGAAAUUCAAUGAUUUAUUAAAGAUUAACAGAAGCGAAAGCGUUCACCAAGUAUGUUCUCAUCAAUCAAGAACGAAAGUUAGGGGAUCGAAGACGACUAGAUACCGUCGUAGUCCUAACCAUAAACGAUGCCAACUAGGGAUUGGAAACUAAUAAUUUUUCAAAAAUAAUUUUUAUAUAUAUUUUAUAUAAAAAUUAAGAAAACUUUCAGAACCUUGUGAGAAAUCAUAAGUAUAUGGGCUCUGGGGGGAGUAUGGACGCAAGUCUGAAACUUAAAGGAAUUGACGGAAGGGCACCACCAGGAGUGGAGCUUGUGGCUUAAUUUGACUCAACGCGGGGAAACUUACCAGAUCAGGACAUAAUAAGGACUGACAGAUUAAAAGCUCUUUCAUGAUUUUAUGGAUGGUGGUGCAUGGCCGUUUUUAGUUCGUGGAGUGAUUUGUCUGUGUUAAUUCCGUAAACGAGCGAGACCUUUACUUACUAACUAAUUAAAUAUUUUUUUAAAUUUAAUAAAAGUAAUUUAAUUUCUUAGAAGGACUAUUCAUUUUUUAAUGAAAGGAAGAUAAAGGCAACAACAGGUCCGUGAUGCC